GGAUAAUUAUAAAAAAAAUAAUGGUUUGGAAAUUAUCUUUAAGUGCAUGUGUGUGUGAUGAAAUUCCAGUAAUUCCCGUGGUCGCCGGCCUCACUCUGCCAACCUGGACCUGAAGUCACACUGCUCGCUCUCUCUCUCUCUCUCU
Molecule: long non-coding RNA, 145 nt
Organism: Thalassophryne amazonica
Lineage: Eukaryota; Metazoa; Chordata; Actinopteri; Batrachoidiformes; Batrachoididae
Exons: 4
Source: RefSeq, a predicted model, not a curated record